RNAcentral lists this unclassified non-coding RNA (241 nucleotides) under fungal sp. RNAcentral describes it as "partial internal transcribed spacer region". The stretch from base 1 to 65 matches the Rfam family "Eukaryotic small subunit ribosomal RNA", at positions 1767 to 1831 of the family's 1831-position model. Lineage: Eukaryota; Fungi. The record is from RNAcentral.
CUUGGUUUAGAGGAAGUAAAAGUCGUAACAAGGUCUCCGUAGGUGAACCUGCGGAGGGAUCAUCAAAGGAAAUUUUUACUUGUACCUUUUUUUGCGGGGUACAUACAAACAAACGAUCGCAACUAUUGUCAAUGAGGGGGGUUUUUUGUUGGGAAGGGAGAAAAAAGUGCUUGCCUGAUAAAAAAACAUUGGGUUGGAAAAAAAGAAAUACAACUUUCAACAACGGAUCUCUUGGCUCUCA